Molecule: long non-coding RNA, 1772 nt
Filed under: Equus caballus (horse)
Lineage: Eukaryota; Metazoa; Chordata; Mammalia; Perissodactyla; Equidae
Description: lncRNA (ENSECAG00000056056.1)
Source: RNAcentral
ACUGGCUAUGCCGGCGCCGGGGGUGCGAGGUGCGCAGGCGCCGCGCCCGUUGCCACGGAAACCGGGUCACCUGCAGGUGCUGUGCUGCCGGCACGUGGGGUCGUCGGCCGCUGUGUCUGACGCCAGGGUUCUGCGCAAGGACUCGUAGUGGCCAAUGCCGGCUGGCUUAGGAGACUGUCAGCUGGUCCAGCCCCGGCUAAGCGAAAGGCUGUUGUUAGCAUCCGAACACGCCCAUCACCAUCUGGAGCAUGGCAGGGGGAUGGGAAUGCAGAGUGGCGUGGGCUUACAGCCUGGGACCUUGGGCAAGUUACUGAACCUCUGUCCCCUUGGCUUCUUCCUCUGUGAAGUUGGGGUCAUAAUGGUCCUUCCCAGACCCAGCUUGGCCCAUGGUCAACACUAAGUAAAUAGGAGCCAUUUGUUAGUAGCUAAUGCUGUGAUGUUGGGGAGGACCAUCUGUACUCUUGAGCCCAGGUCUUUUUAACUGGCAGGUUCGCCAGUCUGGAACGGAGUGGGAGAGUUCCGGGCCGAGGGAGAAGCAAGGACGGAGUCUUGCAAAGCUCUAGACAGAUGAAGCACUCCGAAAGCAUUACCAAAUUGAAGCCACACCAUUUGUUUGUAUUAAACAACUUAGGAAGGAAUCUCUCCAUUCAGCAUACAAGGCUUUCAUCUCCUGUUGAUUUUUUUUUCUAAGUAAAAUCAACAAGCAGUACUCGGUACCUAUUACUGGUUAGGUGCCAAAGGGUGACACGAAGAAGUAUGUGAAAUGGUCUCGAGUCUGAAGGAAUGCACAUUGUGGCAAGGAGAUAAUGUGUGAACUGAGCCUGGAAGGAAGGGUAAAAUCUGAGACAGGAUUAGAAGAGGAACGACUUUCAGGCAGAAGGAGAAAACCUGGGAAAGAGAUGGAGGUAGAAAUUCAGGUGGUGGAGGAAGGAACCAGGGACAGUGGACUUCAGGAGCAAGAGGCUGUCACAGAUAACAGUGGAGACACUGGACCGGAUUGUGGAGGUGGAGGGAGGCAGGCAACCGAAGCCCCUCUGAUUGCCUUCCAGGAAUCUUAGCACUUGGCAGUUCUCAUCUACUCCACAGAGCUUCCAAUAAGCAUUCUGCCUCACUCCUGAAUACACACAGAUGACCAAGGGUCAACAGACAUUUGAGGGAGACAGACAGAAAAAGGGAAAAACAAAGUAGGAAGAAGAAAAGAUAAAAUCUUUAUUAUUUGCAGUCUCUGAAGAUAGUAUUACACCCUUGAAAGAAAAUGAGAAAAGUAUGUAAAAGAACAUUCAGAAAAUAAGAAAGAGCUCUUGAAAAUUAAAAAAAGAAGUAAAUUUAAAAGUUGAUAAAAGAGAAGAUAAAUUUGAUGAUACUCAGGUAACAAUACAAAGGAAAAGAGAUGGAGAAAGAGAAAACAUAAGAAAAUUAGCAGAUUAAUCUAAAAAAUUUGACAUCUGAGAAAUAGGAAUUACAGGAAAGAGAAUAGAGAAAAUAAAAAGGAGGAAAUUACUCAAUAUUUCAAUUACUCAAUUACUCAAAUAAUUCAAGAAAACUUCCCAGAUCUAAAGACACGUUCUCAUAUUGAAAGGGCUCACCAAAUGUCCAGCACAACAAAGCUAAAAAGAUCCACAGCAAGGCACCUCAUCACAAAACUUCAGCGAUAAAGGAAAGAGCUUAAAAAGUUUCCAUGAGGAAAAAUAGAAAGGUCACAUUUAAGGGAUUGGAAAGCAAAAUGACAUGGAAAUUCUCAAUAGAAUCCCUGAGGCUGACAUUCAAAGGAG